GUAUCAACUCUAUCAGAUCCACUCUAUCAGAUCAACUCUAUCAGAUCAACUCUAUCAGAUCAAUGCUGUUGUAUCAACUCUAUCAGAUCAACUCUAUCAGAUCAACUCUAUCGGAUCAACUCUAUUGGAUCAACUCUAUCAGAUCAACACUAUCGGAUCAAUGCUGUCGUAUCAACUCUAUCAGAUCAACUCUAUUGGAUCAACUCUAUCAGAUCAACACUAUUGUAUUUAGGUUGCACGUUUCCAGGUGCUCAACAAGCUUUACAUUGUUUUGGAUGAAACCAGCCACAUGGGUGAUGCCAAAGCCAUUUAGUGUCUGUCCAACUGCCUGUCUUUGUCUACCUGCAGGUGCAGUAGGAGGGAGGGAGGCUGACUGGAAGUCCAACUGUCCCAUCAGGGGCUUUCCCAACCAGUUAGUCCGCUCUAUAUCCAGCGACAGUAUUGUAACAGAUAAAAUAUGUUCCAUUGGGAUUACAAUUACUAAAUACUCGAAUUCAGAGAGACUUACAGGAGCAAUUAGGGUUAAGAGCCCUUGGGCACAAUUUCUUUCUUUAUUGUUUAUUUAUUUCACCUUUAUUUAACCAGGUAGGCCAGUUGAGAACAAGUUCUCAUUUACAACUGCAACCUGACAGAAACAACAACACAGAGUUACACAUGGAAUAAACAAACGUACAGUCAAUAACACAAAAAGAAGGUCUAUAUACAGUGUGUGCAAAUGGCAUGAGGAGGUAUGGUAAUAAAUAGGCCAUAGUAGCAAAGUAAAUACAAUUUAGCAGAUUAACACUGCAGUGAUAGAUGAGCAGAUGAUGGUGUGUAAGUAGAGAUACUGGUGUGUAAAUGAGCAGAAAAGUAAAUACAAACAACAUGGGGAUGAGGUAGGUAGAUUGGGUGGGCUAUUUACAGAUGGGCUAUGUACAGCUGCAGCGAUCGGUUAGCUGCUCAGAUAGCUGAUGUUUAAAGAUAGUGAGGGAAAUGUAAGUCUCCAGCUUCAGCGAUUUUUUGCAAUUCGUUCCAGUCACUGGCAGCAGAGAACUGGAAGGAAAGGCGGCCAAAGGAGGUGUUGGCUUUGGGGAUGACCAGUAAGAUAUACCUGCUGGAGCGCGU
Molecule: long non-coding RNA, 1104 nt
Organism: Oncorhynchus tshawytscha (Chinook salmon)
Lineage: Eukaryota; Metazoa; Chordata; Actinopteri; Salmoniformes; Salmonidae
Source: Ensembl